AACGAACGCUGGCGGCAUGCCUAACACAUGCAAGUCGAACGAGACCUUCGGGCUUAGUGGCGCACGGGUGCGUAACGCGUGGGAACCUGCCCUUAGGUUCGGAAUAACUCCCCGAAAGGGGUGCUAAUACCGGAUAAUGUCUUCGGACCAAAGAUUUAUCGCGUUUGGAUGGGCUCGCGUUGGAUUAGUUUGUUGGUAGGGUAAAAGCCUACCAAGGCGACGUUCCAUAGCUGGUCUGAGAGGAUGAUCAGCCACACUGGGACUGAGACACGGCCCAGACUCCUACGGGAGGCAGCAGUGGGGAAUAUUGGACAAUGGGCGAAGGCCUGAUCCAGCACUGCCGCGUGAGUGAUGAAGGCCUUAGGGUUGUAAAGCUCUUUUACCCGGGAUGAUAAUGACAGUACCGGGAGAAUAAGCUCCGGCUAACUCCGUG
This 433-nucleotide ribosomal RNA is filed under the name uncultured bacterium. RNAcentral's name for it is "partial 16S ribosomal RNA". It matches the Rfam family "Bacterial small subunit ribosomal RNA", at positions 29 to 507 of the family's 1533-position model. The record is from RNAcentral.